This is a non-coding RNA of Schistosoma haematobium, 46 nucleotides long. The record is from Rfam. Lineage: Eukaryota; Metazoa; Platyhelminthes; Trematoda; Strigeidida; Schistosomatidae.
GCACUGCUGAGGAGUCCCACAAUAGGACGAAAUGGCCGUACAGUGC